This 899-nucleotide long non-coding RNA is filed under the name Sus scrofa (pig). RNAcentral describes it as "lncRNA (ENSSSCG00030003344.1)". Lineage: Eukaryota; Metazoa; Chordata; Mammalia; Artiodactyla; Suidae. The record is from RNAcentral.
UGUAUCCGUUUCUAAAAAGCUGUACCUUUUUAGACUAUCUCUUAAAAAUACAUUGUGGCAAGAGUUGGUAAGGUCUAUCGGGGUUUAUCGAUUAUAGAACAGGCUCCUCUAGGUAGAUGUGAAGCACCGCCAAGUCCUUUGAGUUUUAGGCUGUUGCGAGUAGUACUCUGGCGAAUAGUUUUGUUAUAUAACUAUUUGGGCAUGUUGUUGAGUCUCCAUGUGUUUGUGUUUUUUGCAGUUUUUUUCUUGUUGAUUUCUGGUCGUAUAACAUUGUGGUCAGAAAAGAUGCUUGAUAUGAUUUCAAUUUUCUUAAUGUUACUGAGCUUGGACUUGUAGCUCAGGAUGUUAUCAAUCUUAGAGAAUGUUCCAUGUGCACUUGAGAAGAAUGUGUAUUCUGUUGCUUUUGGAUAGAAUGUCCUAUAAAUAUCUAUUAAGUCCAUCUGGUCUAAUGCUUCAUUCAGGACCUGUGUUUCCUUAUUGAUUUUCUGACUGGUUGAUCUGUCCAUUGCUGUAAGUGGGGUGUUAAAGUCCCCCACUAUGAUUGUGUUAUUGGCGAUUUGUCUUUUUAAGGUUGUUAGCAGUUACCUUAUAUAUUGUGGUGAACCUGUGUUGGGUGCAUAGAUAUUUAAAAUUGUUAUAUCUUCUUCUUGGAUUGAUCCUUUGAUAAUUAUGUAAUGUCCUUCCUUGUCCCUGAAAAUAUUCUUCAGUCUAUUUUGUCUGAUAUGAGAAUUGCUACUCCAGCUUUCUUUUGAUCCCCGUUUGCAUGAAAUAUUUUCUUCCAUCCUCUCAGUUUCAAUUUGUCAGUGUCCCUAGAUGUGAAGUGGGUCUCUUGAAGACAGCAUAUAUAUGGGUCUUGUUUUUGUAUCCAUUCAGCCAGUCUAUGUCUUUUGAUUGGCGUG